UCUCAUGUCAAUUUGCCUCUUAGACGGGCUGGAAAAACCUUAAGGGCAGAGGAAAAGUUUUCGUCGCGGUCACUCCAGGACCCCAGGCUCACGGAGCGGCCUCCCCGGGGAGCAGCGGGUCUGCGGCGGAGAGAACUACAAGCGCGACGGGGCGCGGCCCAUUCUUAGGUUUCUGUCCCCACGCCAUCCGCAAAGCGGUGACCUUCCGGCCGCCCCCGACGACAGCGAGCGAAUGGGAAUCCUCCUUCGGGAGGCAGCGGCCGUGGAGGCGGGCAGACACUGAACCUGACGGAGGCCUGCAGGCCGUCGCCACGUUGGAAGGAGGGAGCCCCCCGCGGAGCCCAGGUCCCAGGCGGCCGGAGAUGCGGCUCAUUCUCCCGCUGCGGCGCCGCGAAGGGUGUUCAAAACAGUUGUCUCUGUGAUGAAUCUUCACCGGCGUAGUGGUGAAACGUGCUGGAUGUGUUAGGCCGUGGUUAUCUCCGUACUGAAGUGCAUGGGCCUUAAGAAGGUAACGCUGGCCUCAGCAACAUGAGACCCCUAGAAAUGAAGAUGACUGAAUGGUUUGAAGUAUGCUAAUAUACAGGAAAUGCUGGUGCAGGCAGUUCUUCUAAAUACAGUUAUUCAGAAUCCAGGACUGAGAUCGGGGAGCUUCCAGAUCGGUGAAUCCAUGGAGACUUGGGGAGAAAGCUGUGCUCCAAGAGAGAGCAUGGGAGCUCCAUGCCCUUCCCACACACCCUGCCCUACGCAUCUCUUCCGUCUGGCUGUUCCCGGAUGAUAUACUUCAUAAUACACUGGGGAUCUACAAACAUAAGCACAACAACACGUACUGUUCUGGAGAAGUUACGAACGUUCUGCCAGCACUGGGUGUGUAAGAUAUGAUUCAUAGUGAUGACACAGACGGUGCCCCACUCAGAUGUCUACCUGCCCUGCCAAAAUCAAGUGUAUACAAAACUAACCUCAUCAUCUACCAUCAUAAAACUAGUUUUUUUCUCUGUCACAAUGAAUAGCACGUCCCUCCACCCAGGAGUUGAUGGGAAAGCCAGGGUGAAGGUCUUGGCAUUUCUGUAAUGUCAACAUAUCUUGUUAUUUCUAUCUACAGUCUACGUAUCUGAAUCCAUCCUCUCCAGCUGCGUUAGCACCGCCUCGUCCAAGCCGCCACCAUCUCUCUCUUACCAUAAACACAGUAACCGCCUUGUUUGUUUCCCUACCAUGAUUCUUGAAUCAGAAUCGGUUUCCCAUACUCUUCAGCAAGCAUUUUAAAGUCAAAUCUGCCUCCCCACCUCGCGCUGUAAUCCCUCAGUGGCUUCCGGGAUUAGAUUAUUGCAGAAAAGCUCUCCCCUCACCCCGCCUCCCUAGAGGGUUGUCUGCCUGCGCCCCAUUGGUGUUGGGUGUGGGCACGUGGCUCGUUUUGGCCAAUGGGAUGUUAGCUCAUGUGCCACAAAGCAGAUGGCCCUUUUGGAAGAGUUGAACAUGGUGGAUCUUUGAACUUUGUGUGUAACUUGCUUAUUUUGGGACGUAAACCCUACGGACCUUCUCAGAGUCCCUGGAUGACUUCCUCCUUUUUUUUUUUUUGCUGGGCUCUCAACCUUCCCUGGGACCCU
Molecule: long non-coding RNA, 1601 nt
Organism: Manis pentadactyla (Chinese pangolin)
Lineage: Eukaryota; Metazoa; Chordata; Mammalia; Pholidota; Manidae
Exons: 4
Source: RefSeq, a predicted model, not a curated record